This 797-nucleotide long non-coding RNA is filed under the name Sorghum bicolor (sorghum). RNAcentral describes it as "long non-coding RNA (SBIC_LNC010757)". The record is from RNAcentral. Lineage: Eukaryota; Viridiplantae; Streptophyta; Magnoliopsida; Poales; Poaceae.
GGCAGUGCUUGAUCUACAGGGUGAGUUGCUGAUGAAGAUGGUUGCCGAUGGAAGGAUGGUUGAACGUGACCAAGUCCAUAGGUGAUGAUGUGUUUGUGCCGAUGGCUAUGACAGAGGAGUCUGCCGAUGACACAGAGGGAGAAUCUGGAAGUUGCCGAUCAGCUUAUGGGGAUGUCCUAGUUUGACACGUGAGGAUAGUUUUACGAUUUCCUUAGUUAUUUAGAUCGUUUUGUACACGGACUCUGUUUAAAUUUGGAAUUCGAGUUCUAGUCGUGUCUGGUUGCAGCUCUUUGAGCAGGGUAUAAAUGUAGACCCUCGGGCCUUGUAACAAAAAAAAAAGAAAUCAAUCAAACACACGUUUUUACUCAUAUUCCAGCAUCUACUUUUCGACGAUUUUGUCGUAUUUUUUUUUUCUUUUUACGAGUUCUUAGGAAUUCGUCGACUUAAGCUCGGCGUGUUCUCGAGUUCCGCGUGAGUACCUCUUAGCCGUGACAUCCGGGCGCAUCGCUGUUGUCAGGACUAAAGUAUUCGAGUUAUCACCUUUGCCGAUAGCAAGGUCAAAUCGGCUGGCACGCCUUAACGUUUGAAUCGGGUAUUAGCCCUUUGUGUUUGCAGGUCAGUUUUGCAUCAACACAUCUUUUGGCACGCCCGGUGGGACCAGAUUCAAGAUCAAGAUCAACAUGUCGAUCUCUGACCUCGAUCAAGAGAACGUCAUCCCCGUGACGGAGGCCAACCUUAAGGAUGAGCAAAAGCAAGCUAUUGCCCAAGCCAUGGAAGACUUCAAGCAGCAAUGCCUA